Molecule: long non-coding RNA, 218 nt
Filed under: Carica papaya (papaya)
Lineage: Eukaryota; Viridiplantae; Streptophyta; Magnoliopsida; Brassicales; Caricaceae
Description: long non-coding RNA (CPAP_LNC007953)
Source: RNAcentral
GAUGUUUAAGGUAAAAACUAUAGUAGUUGGUUCUAAGCCAUAGAUAGGCUAGUUCUACACAUGAUUCUUUAAUUGUCUAGAUCCAUAAGCUAUCACUUUUCUGUACUGUAUUAGCACACAUUCCAAUCUUUGCUUUGAAGCAUCACUGUAGAUAGAGAAUCUACUAAUACCGUUAGGAAUAGUCAAUAUUAGGGCUGUUGUCAACUGCUUCUUUAGUU